UACCGCGGUUAUACGAACUAUGGCCCAAGUUGACAAAACUCGGCGUAAAGAGUGGUUAAGGAUAAAAACAGAUUAAAGACGAAAACUACCCGGGCAGUAAUACGCUUCCGGUAAAAGUGUAAGCCCCACCACGAAAGUGACUUUAUUAAACCUGACCCCACGACAGCUAAAAAA
RNAcentral lists this ribosomal RNA (174 nucleotides) under Valenciennellus tripunctulatus (constellationfish). Its description in RNAcentral is "partial 12S rRNA". Lineage: Eukaryota; Metazoa; Chordata; Actinopteri; Stomiiformes; Sternoptychidae. The record is from RNAcentral.